AUUGAACGCUGGCGGCAGGCCUAACACAUGCAAGUCGAGCGGAUGAAGGGAGCUUGCUCCUGGAUUCAGCGGCGGACGGGUGAGUAAUGCCUAGGAAUCUGCCUGGUAGUGGGGAUAACGUCCGGAAACGGGCGCUAAUACCGCAUACGUCCUGAGGGAGAAAGUGGGGGAUCUUCGGACCUCACGCUAUCAGAUGAGCCUAGGUCGGAUUAGCUAGUUGGUGGGGUAAAGGCCUACCAAGGCGACGAUCCGUAACUGGUCUGAGAGGAUGAUCAGUCACACUGGAACUGAGACACGGUCCAGACUCCUACGGGAGGCAGCAGUGGGGAAUAUUGGACAAUGGGCGAAAGCCUGAUCCAGCCAUGCCGCGUGUGUGAGGAAGGUCUUCGGAUUGUAAAGCACUUUAAGUUGGGAGGAAGGGCAGUAAGUUAAUACCUUGCUGUUUUGACGUUACCAACAGAAUAAGCACCGGCUAACUUCGUG
RNAcentral lists this ribosomal RNA (483 nucleotides) under uncultured bacterium. RNAcentral describes it as "partial 16S ribosomal RNA". It matches the Rfam family "Bacterial small subunit ribosomal RNA", at positions 30 to 507 of the family's 1533-position model. The record is from RNAcentral.